Orcinus orca (killer whale) is the source of this 9035-nucleotide RNA transcript. It is a transcript of the gene named arginyl-tRNA synthetase 2, mitochondrial, with no coding region annotated. The record is from RefSeq and is a predicted model, not a curated record. Lineage: Eukaryota; Metazoa; Chordata; Mammalia; Artiodactyla; Delphinidae. The transcript is spliced from 23 exons.
GCGAAGCUCAACACCAUCCAGCUGGGACCAGCUUCGUGGCGACAGAAAUGGCGUGCGGCUUCCGCAGGUCUAUCGCCUGUCAGCUUUCAAGAGUGUUGGAUCUUCCUCCAGAAUACUUGAUCAAGUCAAUAUCUGCAGUUCCAAUUUCCAGAAAAGAAGAAGUAGCUGACUUUCAGCUUUCUGUGGAUUCUCUAUUGGAAAACAACAAUGACCAUUCAAGACCAGAUAUUCAACUUCAAACCGUGAGACUGGCAGAGAAGCUGAAAUGUGACACAGUGGUGAGUGAAAUCAGCACUGGUCCAGGGACUGUAAAUUUCAAAAUAAACAGAGAACUAUUAACAAAGACAGUACUACAAGAAGUGAUUGAAGAUGGCUCAAAAUAUGGAUUAAAAAGUGAACUUUUUUCUGGCCUUCCCCAGAAGAAGAUCGUGGUUGAGUUCAGUUCACCUAAUGUUGCCAAAAAAUUUCAUGUUGGACAUUUGCGUUCUACCAUCAUAGGAAAUUUUAUAGCAAAUCUCAAAGAAGCUUUAGGACAUCAAGUAACAAGAAUAAAUUAUCUUGGGGAUUGGGGCAUGCAGUUUGGUCUUUUGGGAACUGGCUUCCAGCUGUUUGGCUAUGAAGAAAAACUCCAGUCCAAUCCUUUACAGCAUCUCUUUGAAGUUUAUGUACAAGUUAAUAAAGAAGCAGCAGACGAUAAAAGUGUAGCAAAAUCAGCACAUGAGUUCUUCCAGCGAUUGGAACUGGGCGACACGCAAGCACUUGCACUCUGGCAGAAAUUUCGGGACUUGAGCAUAGAAGAGUACAUUCGGAUUUACAAGCGUCUAGGAGUACACUUUGAUGAAUAUUCAGGAGAAUCAUUUUAUCGUGAAAAGUCUCAAGAAGUCUUAAAGUUGCUGGACAGUAAAGGACUCCUACUGAAAACAAUAAAAGGCACAGCUGUAGUGGAUCUGUCAGGAAGUGGUGACCCCUCCUCGAUUUGUACCGUAAUGCGAAGCGAUGGGACGUCUCUCUAUGCAACCAGAGAUCUUGCAGCUGCUAUAGAUCGAAUGGACAAGUAUAAUUUUGAUAAAAUGAUUUAUGUGACAGAUAAAGGGCAAAAAAAGCAUUUUCAGCAAGUGUUCCAAAUGCUGCAGAUCAUGGGAUAUGACUGGGCAGAAAGGUGCCAGCACGUGCCCUUUGGGGUAGUGCAGGGAAUGAAGACUCGAAGAGGAGAUGUUACUUUUCUGGAAGAUGUUCUAAAUGAGAUUCGAUUGAGGAUGCUACAGAACAUGGCUUCUGCUAAGACCACCAGAGAGCUGGAGAACCCCCAGGAGACAGCAGAGAGGGUGGGGCUCGCAGCCCUCAUCAUUCAGGACUUCAGAGGUUUCCUGUUAUCUGACUAUCAGUUCAGCUGGGAUCGUGUUUUCCAGAGUCGCGGGGACACAGGGGUCUUCCUGCAGUACACACACGCCCGCCUCCACAGUUUGGAAGAGACUUUUGGAUGUGGUUAUCUAAAUGACUUCAACACUGCUUGCUUACAAGAGCCACAGUCUGUUUCCAUUCUCCAGCAUCUUCUCAGGUUCGAUGAGGUGCUUUAUAGGUCAGCCCAAGACCUUCAACCCAGGCAUAUUGUCAGUUACCUUCUAACUCUAAGUCAUCUUGCAGCGGUGGCACACAAAACACUACACAUAAAAAACAGUCCUCCUGAAGUGGCCGGGGCCAGACUUCAUCUUUUCAGAGCUGUCCGCUCAGUCCUAGCCAACGGAAUGACACUUCUUGGAAUAACACCUUUGCUGCGUGUGGGAUCUUCAGUUGAGACAUGUGAACCCAUAGUUGCAGCAUGCAUGCAGGAUCUAGUUCCCCAACCAGGGAUCGAACCUGGGCCCCUUGCAUUGUGAGCAUGGAGUCUUACCCACUGGACCCCCAGGAGCACAGGCAUAGGAUUUGUUGAGCAUAAGGAUGGAUCAGAACUACAAGUGAAAGUUCACACAAAUCAGAAAGGAAGCCCGGAGGUAUUACUCUCCUUGACAAUAACAUCACCCUAAGGGGAAAAAGGCGUAUCUAUAUGGCAGAGGCUAUGAAUCAUGCUCCAUUCUUUUCCGUGUGACUGUGUGGAGUGAUCAGGACUCUGGAAAGUUCCCGUUUAGCUACAGUGAGCACUUAGCUUCUUACCACGACGCCUGUGGCCUGGGCUGGUCUCCACUGUACGAGGACGACUCCUCCACACAGCAUAAAAACUGAAAUCCACUGUAACCUGCUGAGCGUCCUGUUUAACAUUAGAACGGUACAUAGAGCAGUACAAGGAAUCUUCAACUGGUACGUCACCUACCAACAAACAAUGAACUCAUCAGCUCGGUUUACAUUAGACUCUGACACAAAUGUAUUAUUUCUGAUAUGAACACAGCUGUAGAGAAAAAUAUUCAAUAGUUUGAUAAAGGGUUAGUAAAACAUCUUUUCACCGUGAAAACAUUUUUUAAGAUUUUGCGCCUGCCAUUUUCAUCUACUUCACCUACCUGGUAUACUGCUGCAUCCAGAUUGCUGAGAGCCAGGAAAGCCAUGUUGUUCUGCACAGCAUACACUAAGGAAGGCACGCUCAACUUCAUCAGUUCCUUGGGGCUCCCCAAGACAUUUUCUCUUAAAGAUGCCUUGAAUCUACCCAGAUUACCAGUUUCUCUUUGAAAACAAAAAGGGGAAAUGAGAAGGGAUGAGGAAGAAAAUGAAAGAUCAUCCUUUCUAUUAGAUACUGUCACACAUAGGAUAGCUACAUUGUGUUACGUUCAUUGAUACUUAUUUCUAGAAUUUUUAACUGAUUUUAGAUUUAUUAAAAGAAGCAAACCAGCAAUGCAUCACCAUAAAAGAAAAACAACUACAAUCUUCAUCUGGGAAAAUAUGACAAUUAGGUUUACCACCCUCAUCCUCUGGUCAAAGUUUCAGGGGCUUUUGAGUAUAUUAAACAAUGAGAGUACCAGGAACCCAGAACUGCCGAUAUUACCUAUAAAAAAUUAAUGUAAUCCCUGCCACUUUAACUGCCAUUGCAUCAAGUUCACCCAGAUUAUUUUUUAGAUUAAUCAGGUUGCAUAUGUAUUUUUUAAUUUUUAAAAUUACAAUAGAUUUUAAUUGCAAACAAAAGAAAAAAGCGUUAGUAGUUAAUAGAAGUUACUUGGGAUAGGAAUUGAGUGAUGCAGGUCAAUAUUAUUUGUAAAUUAAUUCCGUGUUAGUGCAAUAUGGCAGACAAUAAAUCUUUAAAUAAGCAUAUUCUCAUAAAAUUCAAGUAUGUAUCUGUAUAAUUUUGCAGGAAAUCUGAAUAAUUUACUAAUAUCAGUAAGGUAAACUGUACCUGGAACAUACAUAAAGCUUACUACUUGAGUGCAUAUUGAUUGAUGCAUGCUCUUAAGUAUUCUUAUUGUUCCUCAGGAGGAACUAGCUAAUCUGGCUCAUAUUUCCCCCUGUUGUAAAUCAGCUCACUUAUUUCCUGAAAAUACAAAUCAAAGAACACUUUUAUAAGCAUUAACACCAAAAAAAAGUGCUACAUCAAAAGGCUCCUAACUGCCCCUCACAAGAUCCUUAAAAGGACCAUAAUACUUCGUUGGGAAGAUGGAGCUAUUUCAACUCACAAUGAGCCUCUAUAUUUUGGGUUAACAUUAGAAUCAACAGUCACUAAUUGGAUAUUUUCAUAUUUAAAUAGUGCAAAAAUAAUUACCCAAGUUCUGAGGAGGAGCAAAGAGUCCAUAAUGUCUAAUUAACUACCCAUGCCUUAUCCACUGUAGAACACUCCAGCCCCCAAGAAAAUAAUUAAGACAGGAAAUUUGGCCUAGGCCACAGAAACAAAAGAUGCCCUUCUUAGUUACAGACCGUACUUUGCUGCCAAAGCUACAUGCUGAAAAGUAAUGCACACAGCCUGGAGGGCGACUCUACACUCCAUGCAGAAGAGGGAGAGAAUGCCAGAAGAUUACUGGGAAAGUCUGCAUUGUAGAGUUUUCCAGAUAGCUGAAGGUUGGCCCUUUAAACAUUUACCAUUCUUUUUUUUUUUAACACAAAUCUAAGAUGUUCUAUAUAAUUCUCCACCUCUUAAAAGAGUAUAAAGAAUAAUUUCUCAAAGUUUUCCCUCAAUUAUAAAAUUGAAGAGAAAAAAGAUUAAAAAGAAUCACAGAGGUCCAACUCAAAGAACCAUUUUAACAAAGUGAUAUAAUUGAACAUUUUCUUUAUUGUCAUAAUUCUCACUAGGAAACAUGAUGGCAGAGACAUAAAUCUUACAGGCUGUGUGAAGUACAGGACACUGCUUUUACUGUAUCAUUACUUAAUGCCCUUCCAAAAUGCUGACUUCUAUACUAAUGUAUCUUCAGAGUGGCUCCCUAAAGAACUACUGAGAGGUACCUGUUUGUACCUAUCUUUCACAGUCCACCUCCUUCCAUGUCCAUUUAUCUCCCACAUAUGAUUCCUCAAGCUCUAGUUUAGUAGCCACUUAUCCCUUCCCUAAUCCCUAGCUAUGGGCAAUGCCAUCUUACCUCCACUCCUUAGAGAUACUCUAAACCCUCAAUGGUAUCAAAUGAAUUUCUGCCUAUCCAGAGAACAGAGUUGAUCUCUUUAUCACUGGCUCUCUUUGCUCUGCUAGAAUACAGGCUGCUUAAGGAUCUAACAGCUUCUUCUAUUAACCAUGGCUGUACCAAUAAUCAAGGCUGCUGAGGUCCCUUUUCUCCCUGUCACUUUUAUCUCUUCUCCCACUUUUCAGCUUUCACAUCAAAUGAAGGGCCUGUGAGACAUCACCAGCCAAUCUGAGUACUCCUUUCCUUCAACAUGAAAAACGAGUAGAGUACGGUGUGUCCAGAUUAACCUUCAGGUCUUUGGCUCUUCUGGCUAUAUCCUUUUUAUUGGAUACUUAGGAACUAUUACUUCUCCACUGCCAGGAAGACUUUACUAUCUUUUUCUGCUUCCUUCUCUAAUGUAGAUAUAAGAGAAGCCAAGGUAUACCAGAAUGCUAACUACUGGAAAGCUCAAGCUUCACCAUGGUACCUUAGAAUUAUAUCAAUAUUAUAUAAUUGUAACAAGAUAUUUUGAAAUAAGUUGCAAAAAAUAGCAGAGAAUGCUAAAAGAAAUUGUAAAAGAAAACAAAAGCUCAAAAUAAUUAAUGAUAUUAGAAAGUAAAAUAAAGAGAUUUAGGAGGUAUAAGAAAGAAUAUAGGGGAAUGUUACCACACAGAAAGUUUUAAAGGAGGAGAUAAAUUAUUUCGGUAUUAGAUUAAAUCUUGCUUAAUUUAAUAUAUUUAAUAAGAAUACAGCUCUAAAACUUACAGUUUUACUCACUAAAGUUAAAAAAAGUAAUAGCAAUAUAUCUUCCAGAAAACACUAGUAAUCAUCUAUCCUUUUGUUUUACUGUUAAGUAGACAAAGAUAAAUGAUCAAUUCUAAAUAUACUACAGCCUUGAAUAGUGUUCUCUGAAUACUAAAAAAACAUAAAAACCAAAGACCACUUUUUCUUCCAUUUUCCUGCUCUGAUAUUUUCUGGAAAUCAAAUCCCAAGCACUUUAAUGAGUACCUUUUGUUAAAAACAAAUUUAUUGAAUUUAAUUAUAUAAAUGACAUUGUGAGAUAAGAGAAAACGUGUGUGUAAUCAAAAAGCAUACACUAAUUUUUUUAGAUAUAGUCUGUCCCAUUAAAUUUACUCUUUGAUUUUUAUCACUGGAAUAGAAUCCAUGUGCAACCUGUUGUUACCUCAAGGAAUGCUGACGCUCCAUGUUGAUUGCAGAGAGAUUCCGCUGCUGCAGCCCCCCCAACUUUCCUAUCAACCAGCUGAAACCAAUUCUUUCUGAUCUAUGUUUGGUCAAAAGUAGGCCUCAUUCUUCCAGCUCCUGAUCUGAGGAGAACUACUAGGAGGCCUGAAAUCCUUGGCUAGGUUACCAAGGCACUGUGCAAAAUGGAAUAAUACAGCAGAAGUUACUCAUGAGUUUAAGGAAUCUAAAUUUCCCUUACAAAUUUCUUAUCAUCUGCAAAGUUAAUUAAAAUUAACUCGCAUAAAAAAUUUUGGGAAGCUAGGUUUAAAAACCAAUAAUGAGGUCAUUUGAGGACAAAAAUACCCAUCAUAUGAGGUACAUGACUUUUACUUCCUCCCCAUGACCCUGAACCCCUUAUAGCAUUGAGUACAAAGAGGCAGUCAAAAUGUAAACUCAGCAAGAAAAACAGAAUAGGGCUGGAUAAUCUAUGACAUAGGUAUCUGAGAGCUUCAUUCAUUAUUCUAGAAAAUACUAUGAAACAGUAAAAUAAUUUUCUCCAGUCUUAUCUGGAUAAGUAGUACAAAGAUUUAAGAUGCAUUUGGUUUAUUACGAAACACACCCAAAGUGUAUGUACAUUUACACCUCCUAGGUUUCUUUAGUCUUUACAGGCUGUGGUGGAUAGCAAACAAUAAAAAGUUGACUUUGUUCUAAGACAACAUGCAGUGUUUUCAUUUCCUUUUCACAUCACAAAUGACAGACUUAAAUCAAAAGUAUCAAUUUUAAUAGCUAUGACAGCGUUUAGUAAAGCAUACAGCUAACUAGCAAUUUUCCUGUGAAUUGUUAUAGUAAUUAUUUUAUGAAAAACUAAAAUAUUUUAAAAUGUAUUGUUUGAUGUUUCAACUGGAAUUAUAACUUAGAAAUUGGUAACUUAGUCAAAUACUUAAAAAAUAACUUACCCACAUAUAAAGCUUUUGCAACAUCCAACUGCUAAGCUGCUCCCCUCCCCAAAAAUAGGAUUUAUUAAUUUCCUUUUCAAUAUAAAAGUGGUCUGAUGUAAUUAUACAUGUACACAGCAGUGCAUAUAAAAAGAUAAUUAUUACAUCUUUGUUUUGUAGUGGCAGAAGACUGGACACACCCAAAUGCCCAUCAAUAGAAACUGGUGUAUGUGAUACAUCCAUAUAGUGGAAUACCACACAGCUCUUAAAAAGAAGGAGACAGAUUUCUAUGUACAGACAUGGAACCAUCUCUAAGAUAAAACAUUUAAGUGAAAAAAAAGUUAAAAAGCAAAGCAGUGUAAACUGUAUGCACACACAAUGCAUGUAAUCAAACUCCCCAAUCAGACUGUAUAAACCUUAAACCUUAUUUAUCAAAAUAAAGUAGCCAUUCAUUAAUUCUUCCCCACACUCCCCUUUUUUUCUUGCAGUUCUAAAUUAACUUUUGAUUGAAACAAGUAUAAUUUCAUAUUCCAAAGAUUACUAGAAAUUGUAAGUAAAAUCAACAAGGAUGGUAGAAAACUCCAAAUUAAUUACAAACAGAAACCAAAAAAAGAAAAAACAACCCUGUCAGUUUUUUUAAUGAAUACCAAAAUUACACGGAAGGAGAAAAAUAGAACUAACCCAGGUAUUCUAAAACACAGUCUCUUUACUAUAUGCUCUAAAACUAAAGGCAAAAAAAAAACUACAUACAAAUACUGAACUUUAGUUAGUAGGUUUGCUUUUUCACAGCGGUAUCUUAGAAGUUCUGAGUCUACUUAUUAUGUAUUCUAGGACUGAGCAAAAAAGUAAAUAUCUUGAGGAUAAUGGAAGUCAAACUCACCACCAUUGGAAAAGGGAAAAGUUGCAAUGAACUCUGUGGUACUGGAUCAGAAUUGCAGGUAUCAAACAAUAUAUUACUCACAGUUGUAUACACAAACACAUACAUACAGAAACAGAGAAACAGACAGGUAUGUAUGUAUACACAUACAUGUUACCUAGCUCUGGCUACUGAAAGGGCCCAGAAGUUAUGAUACCCCCAGUAGCAAUGUGCACACCUCAUGUCUAGAUUCUGGUUUCUAAAUACCAUUUUGGGAAAAAAGGAACAAGGCUUCCUAGAGAAAUGUAUGAUUUGGGGAUUGGGGCAGGGAAAGUAUAAGAUAAGCUAUGAACAUCUUGCUAUGCUAAAAAGAACCUGCUCAAAGAUUGAUGAAAAUAUGUAAGUGAAAAAGAAAAGAAAAGAAACAGGAGGAACCUUGAAGAUGAUCCCACUGUCCAAAUCUGGGACAAUUUGAGCAUCGAAAUAAAUGAUAAUAAUGGAUUCCAGCAAAUAUAAUAAAAUAAUCCAUGAAUCUACACUGAGAGGGAGAAGGACAGGUAGGUGGGAGAGAGAGGAAGAGGGAGAGAAGGGAAAGUUUCUUAGAGUAGAAUGCCAACCAAUAAAUGUAUAGGGAAUGAUGGAACUGGGAAAUUACCAUUUGGCAACAUCAAAGGACAAUAAAAAUGAUGAGAAAGAGGAUAUAUACCUAGUUUCAAAGAUUCUCUCCACAUCAUACUUAAUAGUUACAAAGAGAAAAUUGGUAACUUUAUCUGGAGAGACCUGGCAGGCACUACCUUAAUCAAGGAAUCAAAGUUAAAUCACCAGUAAUGGGGCAAAUGGAUAUUAUGUGCUUCGUGAUACACUGCACCGAGAAAGACACAUCAUUUCCAUGAUAUUCCUGACCAAAACCCUAAAUUUAAUCAUAAGAAAGCAAUCAAUAAACAUAAACUGUGGGACAUUCUACAAAUUAAAUGGACUAUGCUCUUCAACAAUGUCAAAGACAAGAAAAAAAGAUGGAGGAACUGUCUCAGAUUAAAGGCAGCUAGAGAUAUAAUACUACUGUAAAGUGUGAUUAUUUUACUGUUAAAGGACAUCAGUGGGCAACAAAAUUAUCUAAGGUCUAUGAAUUAGAUAACAGUAUUGUAUCAAUACUAAUGUGUCAAUUUUGAUAUUCUGUUAUUAUGUAAGAGAAUGUCCUUGUUUUUAGAAAAUAGGCACUGAAGUAUUUAGGGACAAAGGGGCAUCUUGUGUAAAACUUGCUCUCAAAACAUAAAAACAAUAUACACCCACACAAAUACACUGCAAUCAAGAAUAUGGUAAAAUUUAGGGCUUCCCUGGUGGCGCAGUGGUUGAGAGUCCGCCUGCCGCUGCAGGGGACGUGGGUUUGUGUCCCGGUCCGGGAAGAUCCCACAUGCUGCAGAGCGGCUGGGCCCGUGAGCCAUGGCCGCUGAGCCUGCGCGUCCAGAGCCUGUGCUCUGCAACGGGAGAGGCCACAACAGUGAGAGGCCCGCGUACCGCAAAAAAAAAAAAAAAAAAAAAAAAAAAAAGAAUAUGGUAAAA